GAUGAACGCUGGCGGCGUGCCUAAUACAUGCCAGUCGAGCGAACGGACGGGAAGCUUGCUUCUCUGAUGUUAGCGGCGGACGGGUGAGUAACACGUGGAUAACCUACCUAUAAGACUGGGAUAACUUCGGGAAACCGUAGCUAAUACCGGAUAAUAUUUUGAACCGCAUGGUUCAAAAGUGAAAGACGGUCUUGCUGUCACUUAUAGAUGGAUCCGCGCUGCAUUAGCUAGUUGGUAAGGUAACGGCUUACCAAGGCAACGAUGCAUAGCCGACCUGAGAGGGUGAUCGGCCACACUGGAACUGAGACACGGUCCAGACUCCUACGGGAGGCAGCAGUAGGGAAUCUUCCGCAGUGGGCGAAAGCCUGACGGAGCAACGCCGCGUGAGUGAUGAAGGUCUUCGGAUCGUAAAACUCUGUUAUUAGGGAAGAACAUAUGUGUAAGUAACUGUGCACAUCUUGACGGUACCUAAUCAGAAAGCCACGGCUAACUACGUG
RNAcentral lists this ribosomal RNA (497 nucleotides) under uncultured bacterium. RNAcentral describes it as "partial 16S ribosomal RNA". It matches the Rfam family "Bacterial small subunit ribosomal RNA", at positions 28 to 507 of the family's 1533-position model. The record is from RNAcentral.